Molecule: long non-coding RNA, 676 nt
Organism: Aethina tumida (small hive beetle)
Lineage: Eukaryota; Metazoa; Arthropoda; Insecta; Coleoptera; Nitidulidae
Exons: 5
Source: RefSeq, a predicted model, not a curated record
AAAAAGCGUUAAUUUUGCGGCCGUUUCUAUAUGUCCGUUUCUAUAUGCGCAGAAACCAUAAUAUCGACGACAGAGCAAUCUUCAAAACCCCCAACAAAAUGGCGUUUGCUCAGUUUAGGUUGUUCCGUGGUUGUGGAUGGAUCGUUCGAUGAAGCAAAUCCUACACAAUUGGUCGAUGAGAAACAAAUCCAACAUUCAGUUUUUAGCAACGGCGCAAGAAACGAAGAAACUUUUCAGUAGUUGUAAAUUUCUUAGGACAAAUGAGAAAUUACACUGGCAUGAAAUGUUAGAAAGAAAGGAAUUGAAAUGAAUCAAAAACGUAAAUAUUAAAGCGUUUAACUACAAAAUAAAAGAUUACCACAAAGUUGAAAGUUCUUUAGGACAAAUAAAAAAAACCGGCAUGUCAUUUUAUGAGGAAAGGAUAUAAAAUGAACCAGAAAUGUAAGCAUUUAACCAAGAAACUAAAAAGGUUCCCACCUAAUUGAAAGUUCCUUAGGACAAAUGAGAAAUUAAAACAGCAUGUCAUUUUAUGAGGAAAGGAUAUAAAACGAAUCAGAAAUCAUUUAACCACAAAAUUAAAAAGCUUCCCACCAAAUUGAAAGUUCCUUAGGAUAAAAGAAAAAUUAAACUGGGAUGUUAUGUUAUGAGGAAAGGAAAUAAAUCAUAAGUGUAAAUA